CAGUCGCCACGGUAAUACGGAGGGAGCUAGCGUUGUUCGGAAUCACUGGGCGUAAAGCGCACGUAGGCGGCUAUUCAAGUCAGGGGUGAAAGCCCGGGGCUCAACCCCGGAACUGCCUUUGAAACUAGAUAGCUUGAAUCUUGGAGAGGCGAGUGGAAUUCCGAGUGUAGAGGUGAAAUACGUAGAUAUUCGGAAGAACACCAGUGGCGAAGGCGACUCGCUGGACAAGUAUUGACGCUGAGGUGCGAAAGCGUGGGGAGCAAACAGGAUUAGAGACCCCUGUAGUCCCUGUCUCUUAUAC
RNAcentral lists this ribosomal RNA (301 nucleotides) under uncultured bacterium. Its description in RNAcentral is "partial 16S ribosomal RNA". It matches the Rfam family "Bacterial small subunit ribosomal RNA", at positions 509 to 807 of the family's 1533-position model. The record is from RNAcentral.